Molecule: non-coding RNA, 105 nt
Filed under: Aneurinibacillus migulanus
Lineage: Bacteria; Bacillati; Bacillota; Bacilli; Caryophanales; Paenibacillaceae
Description: Glycine sequence
Rfam family: Glycine riboswitch aptamer
About the family: This family represents the bacterial glycine riboswitch. Glycine riboswitches usually consist of two metabolite-binding aptamers domains with similar structures in tandem.
Source: Rfam by way of RNAcentral
AUGACUGUUGCGGGAGAGACCUGGCGCAUUGCCUGGCACCGAAGGAGCAACUCCCAAAAAUCCAUGGGAGAGAAUCUCUCAGGUAAAGUGAACCGCAAUAGGACG